Molecule: ribosomal RNA, 253 nt
Filed under: uncultured bacterium
Lineage: Bacteria
Also listed under: 1 other name
Description: partial 16S ribosomal RNA
Rfam family: Bacterial small subunit ribosomal RNA
Source: RNAcentral
UACGUAGGUGACAAGCGUUAUCCGGAUUUAUUGGGCGUAAAGCGCACGCAGGCGGCGGAUUAAGUCUGACGUGAAAUCUCUCGGCUUAACCGGGAGCGGUCGUUGGAAACUAAUCGGCUUGAGGCGAUGAGAGGGGUGUGGAAUUCCCGGUGUAGUGGUGGAAUGCGUAGAUAUCGGGAGGAACAUCAGUGGCGAAAGCGGCACCCUGGCAUUAGCCUGACGCUCAGGUGCGAAAGCGUGGGGAGCGAACGGG